CUCCCCCAUGCAUGCUUAUCUGCUUGAGGGUGGCUCUAAUUAAUUUUGCUUUUGCUUUCUCUCUUUAGUGUGAAGUAGAGAACCACACGAGGUGGAGCUUGGGGGAGUAGCCGCGAAGCUCGGAUUCAACGUCGACAUCGCGCCGCGGAGCCGUUUGAGGAUACGGUUGCAGUCGUAGCAUCGCGAGGAGUUCUAGCGAGGGCGUGGUUUUCGCCGUCCUCGACGUCGCACCGGCGCUGGAUUCGCUGUCGAGCGUCGACCAUCAGUGUUUCGGCUCGUACUCGGCGUAGGAACGUCGGAUUUCGACGAGACUUGGUUCGUUGGAUUCAGGACUUCGAGAGGAAUCCACGAAGCCCUUAUUUGCUGAAUUUGUUGAAGGGCGAUUUCGAACUUGAGCUGGACACUCUGGUUUUUCCAGUGAAUUUGGGGAUUUUUGGUGACCUCCUCGCUGCCGGGGUUUAGCAAUCGAGAGCCUUCUGUUCCGGCUGCUGCAUCUUUCGAGACCGAUCGUGGCAAGGGCGUUGCGAGCUAGAGCCUUUCCAGACAAGUCGCAGAGUCACAGGAUCACCAGCUACAGGUAGUUGUAGUUUUUGAGUUCAUAUACAUAUUUUUGUUAUUUCUCGCUGGGCGAGCCUUUUGUACACCGGAAUUGGAUGUAUGUAUAGUGAACUUUUUUUUUUAUACUUCUGUUCAUUUUUU
This is a long non-coding RNA of Ananas comosus (pineapple), 699 nucleotides long. RefSeq lists it as uncharacterized. The record is from RefSeq and is a predicted model, not a curated record. The transcript is spliced from 4 exons. NCBI's taxonomy places the organism in Eukaryota, Viridiplantae, Streptophyta, Magnoliopsida, Poales, Bromeliaceae.